RNAcentral lists this ribosomal RNA (396 nucleotides) under uncultured bacterium. Its description in RNAcentral is "bacterial SSU rRNA". It matches the Rfam family "Bacterial small subunit ribosomal RNA", at positions 28 to 432 of the family's 1533-position model. The record is from RNAcentral.
GACGAACGCUGGCGGCGUGCUUAACACAUGCAAGUCGAGCGGAAAGGCCCUUCGGGGUACUCGAGCGGCGAACGGGUGAGUAACACGUGAGUAACCUGCCCUCAGCUUCGGGAUAAGCCUGGGAAACUGGGUCUAAUACCGGAUACGACCAUUGGAUGCAUGUCUGGUGGUGGAAAGUUUUUCGGCUGGGGAUGGGCUCGCGGUCUAUCAGCUUGUUGGUGGGGUGAUGGCCUACCAAGGCGACGACGGGUAGCCGGCCUGAGAGGGUGACCGGCCACACUGGGACUGAGACACGGCCCAGACUCCUACGGGAGGCAGCAGUGGGGAAUAUUGCGCAAUGGGCGGAAGCCUGACGCAGCGACGCCGCGUGGGGAGGAAGGCCUCGGUUGUAACCCU